GUAGGGGGCGAGCGUUGUCCGGAUUCAUUGGGCGUAAAGCGCUUUAAGGCGGUUCGCUAAGUCGCGUGUGAAACCUCCAGGCUCAACCUGGAGACGCCACGCGAUACUGGCGUGACUAGAGUUCGGUAGGGGAUCACGGAAUUCCUGGUGUAGCGGUGAAAUACGCAGAUAUCAGGAGGAACACCGGUGGCGAAGGCGGUGAUCUGGGCCGACACUGACGCUGUAGAGCGAAAGCGUGGGGAGCGAACAGGAUUAGAUACCCUGGUAGUCCACGCCGUAAACGUUGGGCACUAGGUGUGGGGGAUUAUCAACGUCCUCCGUGCCGUAGCUAACGCAUUAAGUGCCCCGCCUGGGGAGUACGGCCGCAAGGCUA
Molecule: ribosomal RNA, 373 nt
Filed under: uncultured bacterium
Lineage: Bacteria
Description: bacterial SSU rRNA
Rfam family: Bacterial small subunit ribosomal RNA
Source: RNAcentral